RNAcentral lists this long non-coding RNA (566 nucleotides) under Trifolium pratense (red clover). Its description in RNAcentral is "long non-coding RNA (TPRA_LNC010597)". The record is from RNAcentral. Lineage: Eukaryota; Viridiplantae; Streptophyta; Magnoliopsida; Fabales; Fabaceae.
CUCCAUGUACCGUGGCAUGACCGUGGCCAAGUAAUAAAGAUCAAAUUCCAUGCCUAUGUGAUCAGUGCAUUUUAAUGCACAUUCUUCUACUAUUGUACUAGUGUAUUCCUAUGGUUUAAUUUACUAUUUUCACUAUUUUAAGGUGUUUUUAUAUUUAAGUUUAUUUCUAACUCUAUNNNNNNNNNNNNNNNNNNNAUAAAUAGCACUUUGACACCCUUCCGGUCCGCAGGUCAUAACUGGAGUUACAAAUAUCGGAUUGAGACGCGGGAAGAUGCGUUGGAAAGCUGAGAUCAAGAGCUACGACUUUUAUGUUGAGGUCAAAACCCAGUUCGGAGCGCAAGUGUGUCAAAUAAUUGCGUUUAUGUUCCAGACGAAUUUAAUUUCAGCACAACUUUAUAUUUUUCGGCCCAAUUGUUUUAAGGCCCGUUCCAUGUAUUAUUUAAACCGAAAAAAAGGCAGCUAGGGUUAUUUCAUUCUGAUUUCACGAGAAACCAAUCCCGAGAGCAGCCACUACCUUCAUGGAGAACUAAACUUAUUUUCAAUCCAUUGGUGUAAGGAAUUUUGUU